CGGACGGGUGAGUAAUGUCUGGGAAACUGCCUGAUGGAGGGGGAUAACUACUGGAAACGGUAGCUAAUACCGCAUAAUGUCGCAAGACCAAAGAGGGGGACCUUCGGGCCUCUUGCCAUCGGAUGUGCCCAGAUGGGAUUAGCUAGUAGGCGGGGUAACGGCUCACCUAGGCGACGAUCCCUAGCUGGUCUGAGAGGAUGACCAGCCACACUGGAACUGAGACACGGUCCAGACUCCUACGGGAGGCAGCAUG
RNAcentral lists this ribosomal RNA (253 nucleotides) under uncultured bacterium. RNAcentral describes it as "partial 16S ribosomal RNA". It matches the Rfam family "Bacterial small subunit ribosomal RNA", at positions 99 to 353 of the family's 1533-position model. The record is from RNAcentral.